This 475-nucleotide ribosomal RNA is filed under the name uncultured bacterium. RNAcentral's name for it is "bacterial SSU rRNA". It matches the Rfam family "Bacterial small subunit ribosomal RNA", at positions 335 to 799 of the family's 1533-position model. The record is from RNAcentral.
ACUCCUACGGGAGGCAGCAGUAGGGAAUCUUCCACAAUGGACGAAAGUCUGAUGGAGCAACGCCGCGUGAACGAUGAAGGCUUUCGGGUCGUAAAGUUCUGUUGUAAGGGAAGAACAAGUGCCGCAGGCAAUGGCGGCACCUUGACGGUACCUUGCGAGAAAGCCACGGCUAACUACGUGCCAGCAGCCGCGGUAAUACGUAGGUGGCAAGCGUUGUCCGGAAUUAUUGGGCGUAAAGCGCGCGCAGGCGGCCUCUUAAGUCUGAUGUGAAAGCCCCCGGGCUCAACCGGGGGAGGGCCAUUGGAAACUGGGAGGCUUGAGUAUAGGAGAGAAGAGUGGAAUUCCACGUGUAGCGGUGAAAUGCGUAGAGAUGUGGAGGAACACCAGUGGCGAAGGCGACUCUUUGGCCUAUAACUGACGCUGAGGCGCGAAAGCGUGGGGAGCAAACAGGAUUAGAUACCCUGGUAGGAUAGCG